This 305-nucleotide unclassified non-coding RNA is filed under the name uncultured fungus. RNAcentral describes it as "sequence contains ITS1". The stretch from base 1 to 105 matches the Rfam family "5.8S ribosomal RNA", at positions 50 to 154 of the family's 154-position model. The record is from RNAcentral. Lineage: Eukaryota; Fungi.
UAACUGCGAUAACUAAUGUGAACUGCAGAUAUUUUGAACAUUGAGACUUCGAAUGCACAUUGCGCCAUUGGAGUCACACCCUCUGGCACAUCUGGCUCAGGGUCGUCUUCGAAAAACGACGGCCAGUCGUUCCCGCGGCGGGCUCACUGCACUCUCGCAGUGUGCCCGCAUUUGCCGCCGGCGUAGACGCGCGAUCUGCGCGUGGGGAGGGCGGUCACCGCUCGAUAGACCAAGUGCCCCACGCGAGAACGCGCGGCGCUCGCAAUCGCGACCUGAGCUCAGGUGUGAGCACCCGCUGAACUUAA